ACAGGGGUGCCUUAAAUGGCUGAGAUAGACCCUUAGACCUGAUCUAGUUAGUACUAGCGUAGGAAGAUCUA
Molecule: non-coding RNA, 71 nt
Filed under: pig gut metagenome
Description: TPP riboswitch (THI element)
Rfam family: TPP riboswitch aptamer (THI element)
About the family: Vitamin B(1) in its active form thiamin pyrophosphate (TPP) is an essential coenzyme that is synthesised by coupling of pyrimidine and thiazole moieties in bacteria. The previously detected thiamin-regulatory element, thi box was extended, resulting in a new, highly conserved RNA secondary structure, the THI element, which is widely distributed in eubacteria and also occurs in some archaea. Analysis of operon structures identified a large number of new candidate thiamin-regulated genes, mostly transporters, in various prokaryotic organisms.
Source: RNAcentral